Molecule: non-coding RNA, 111 nt
Organism: Candidatus Rokubacteria bacterium 13_1_40CM_4_69_5
Lineage: Bacteria; Candidatus Rokuibacteriota
Source: Rfam
UGUGACUAACGCGGGAGCUCGGGGAACCGGGCUGAGAGGGCGGCUGCUGCCGCCGACCGCAUGAACCUGACCUGGUUAAUGCCAGCGAAGGGAGGCCAGAUGUCUCAUAAG